UCCCUGCCUCCCGGCUUCGGGUCUCAUUCUGUUGGUCAGUUCGUUCUGUUCAUUAGAUGCCACAGGUGAGGAGAUCAUGUGACCUGUGUCUUUCUCAGUUUGGCUUAUUCCGCUGAGCGUCACACUCUCCAGGUCCAUCCUCGCUGCCCCAGAGGGUCAGGAUCCCUCUUUUCACAGCUGCACAGUGUUCCAGGGAGGACCUGGCCCUCC
Molecule: long non-coding RNA, 210 nt
Organism: Myotis brandtii (Brandt's bat)
Lineage: Eukaryota; Metazoa; Chordata; Mammalia; Chiroptera; Vespertilionidae
Exons: 3
Source: RefSeq, a predicted model, not a curated record